RNAcentral lists this ribosomal RNA (326 nucleotides) under uncultured eukaryote. RNAcentral's name for it is "partial 18S ribosomal RNA". It matches the Rfam family "Eukaryotic small subunit ribosomal RNA", at positions 1470 to 1796 of the family's 1831-position model. The record is from RNAcentral.
CCCUUAGAUGUUCUGGGCCGCACGCGCGCUACACUGUUCGACGCAGCGAGUCUUAACCUUGACCGAAAGGUUUGGGUAAUCUUCAGCAAAGUCGAACGUGAUGGGGAUCGAUCAUUGCAAUUAUUGAUCGUGAACGAGGAAUUCCUAGUAAGUGCAAGUCAUCAGCUUGCGCUGAUUACGUCCCUGCCCUUUGUACACACCGCCCGUCGCACCUACCGAUUGAGUGGUCCGGUGAAGUCUCGAGAUUGUGGCAAUCUCCUUUAUUGGAGUUUGACUGCGAGAACUUGCCUAAACCUUAUCACUUAGAGGAAGGUGAAGUCGUAACA